Molecule: unclassified non-coding RNA, 214 nt
Filed under: plant metagenome
Description: partial contains small subunit ribosomal RNA and internal transcribed spacer 1
Rfam family: Eukaryotic small subunit ribosomal RNA (bases 1-46)
Source: RNAcentral
AAGUCGUAACAAGGUUUCCGUAGGUGAACCUGCGGAAGGAUCAUUACCUUUCUGGCUAUUUAAUAGCUUGUCGGGGGGCUAUAGUCUCUAUAGCCUCUGACUGAAUUCCGUGUUUUUAUCGUACUACAUGUUUCCUCGGCGGGCUUGCUCGCCGUGGCGACCAUCAAUACUCUUUGCAAUUGCAAUCAGCGUCUGAAUUAUUUAAUAAUUACAA